This 305-nucleotide ribosomal RNA is filed under the name uncultured bacterium. RNAcentral's name for it is "bacterial SSU rRNA". It matches the Rfam family "Bacterial small subunit ribosomal RNA", at positions 335 to 658 of the family's 1533-position model. The record is from RNAcentral.
GGCCUACGGGGGGCAGCAGUGGGGGAUAUUGGACAAUGGGGGGAACCCUGAUCCAGCGACGCCGCGUGAGUGAAGAAGUAUUUCGGUAUGUAAAGCUCUAUCAGCAGGGAAGAAAAUGACGGUACCUGACUAAGAAGCCCCGGCUAACUACGUGCCAGCAGCCGCGGUAAUACGUAGGGGGCAAGCGUUAUCCGGAUUUACUGGGUGUAAAGGGAGCGUAGACGGCUGUGCAAGUCUGGAGUGAAAGGCAUGGGCUCAACCUGAGGACUGCUUCGGAAACUGUGCGGCUUGAGUGUCGGAGAGGG